AGGUCUUUGAAAUGCUUUACAUUUGAGAAUGAAGCUCAGUUGAAGUUUGAACAGCAUACUGACAUAUACCAACACGAAUGAAAAUAACUUAACAGCAAUUUUAUAAAUUCACAUCCCCCAGAGCACCACAGAGUAAAGAAAUACUGCAUAUGGGUAACAACUGGUUCUUAGUUACUAAAUCUGAAAGAUCAAAUAAAGUUAAUCACAUAAGAUCCUCUAUAGACUGUUGAUGUAUAGCCAUGAGAAAAAAAAAAGAAAAAUUUUUGCUGUCAAUGAGCUUGCAUUUAAGCAUCUGUAAAAGGUGAGAUUAAUAUUUACUCAGUGAACUUUGAGUAAAGCAUUGGUUGCUUCGUUAUGUGGAUGAGUCUCAUCCAAUCAGUUGAAGGUGACUGAAUGGAACCAUAGAUCGACCUCACAUAAGUGAGAGGGAAUUCUGCAACAGAUCGUCUUUGCCUUUGAACUGCAGCAUGGACUCCCCUCUGGGUCUCCUGCCUGCCAGCCCACCCUGCAGAGUUUGCAUUUGCCAGCCUUCACAAUCAGGUAAUUUAUCCUGUGCAUUAGCAAGAGGAAGUCUACAGCCAUGGAAACCAAGUCAGGAAACUUCUCUCUUAUUAUUAGGUCCACUGCAAAUCUAGUUGAGACUGCAAAUCGAGGUUUUUCUCAGGGGAAGCCGAGCUCCAGACUAUUCAUUUGUCCUGAAGCAGCCACCUGAAACACAAUCAUUUUGUAUUUCUACGAUGUUUUGACCUUUUAUCCAAGUCAGCCCUAUAGAAUGGGCCAAGAGGUUGCUGCCACUGAAUAAGCCACUGUGAUUUUUUAGCGUCAAGAAUUUUGCUGUUAACUAUGGCAGAAAAAUAGACAGAGGGUAAUAAAAAUAACUAACAUAGACAAAUUGC
This is a long non-coding RNA of Pongo pygmaeus (Bornean orangutan), 896 nucleotides long. RefSeq lists it as uncharacterized. The transcript is spliced from 6 exons. NCBI's taxonomy places the organism in Eukaryota, Metazoa, Chordata, Mammalia, Primates, Hominidae. The record is from RefSeq and is a predicted model, not a curated record.